Long non-coding RNA from Taeniopygia guttata (zebra finch), 1572 nucleotides. Lineage: Eukaryota; Metazoa; Chordata; Aves; Passeriformes; Estrildidae. The record is from Ensembl.
CAAGCAGAAACUGGCAACUACACCGUACACCUGUUAUUAUGCAUUACAAUGAAAUUAAAGUAUUUAGAGAAUUUGGCAAGGCCACGCUACUAAAACUAUGGCGGUGUCUGCAACUGCAAACACACAGAUGAGUGCUGCUCCUGCCUGCUAGGAAAAUAGUGCUGCACAAAGAACUGCUGGCAUCCAGCAGCUGGCCUUUCAAGAGGAGUGUCCACAAACAUGCCCUCUGUGACACCUGCUCAGGUGGCACGGGCGCCAGGCUCCGGCGCUGCGGCAGGAGCAGCGGGGAAGGGGCCCAGGAACGGCCCCGCACAGGCACUGACCUCCUUGGGGGAAGUGCAGAGCACUAUUUAUUCAGGUGCAAUAAUACAAAUCUUUGUGGGCUGUUCCGCAGUGAUAAAACGAAGAGGAUUCCAAAGAAUGCGUUCCCUGCGUGACUUCCUGAGCCCCACUCAACAGCUCUGCUGCAUUUCUGAAUAAUAUCCUGGAGUUUCAGGCACUAGUAUACAUCCUGAUAAGCAGGAAAGCUGCAAAGUCACAGGACACAGCAGUGACUUUCUUAAGUCCCUGAUGAUACUUGUGCUGAGACUGAGCUUGAUGAAAAGCUGUGGGAUGCACUGGCUGUUCCCUUGUCAAAGUCAAGCUGGAAGCUUUUAAGAAAACUUAAGCCUUCCCCUGCCUCAUUUUCUUGAUGGCUGUCAGAGGUAAGGGCAUUGGAAGAAAAGCGCAGAGGAUCCCUCUGCUAUAUGGAAUGCCAAGGAAUCCAUGUCUCUCUCUCACCAGGAAGGUUUCUAAUUUUGCUUGCUCCACUAUCAGUCUCGAUGAUCAAUGCUGACAUGAGUGGGUACCACCAGCAGGAGGCUGGCAGCACAUAACCUUCUGUGACAAAGGUUCCUCUCAUGUCCCCCAGCACAAGGAAGGUUUGUAAAACUAUACCUACGCUGUUCCCACUGGAAUCUGAGUUCAGCCACCACAUUAAAUAUGUUCCUAUACAAAAGACUAAAGCCAAAGAGUAGAAGUAACAGGGAACUGAUAUGCCAAGUUUAAAAAUGGACUUGUGUUCUGACCCAUUGGAUGGAUCUUGGGAAAACUACUGAUUUCCAUUGAAAAAGGAGAAAGGUAGGCCCAAACUGCAGUGGUCAAGAAAACUCAAAAGAAACAAGACUGAAACUUUUUGAUUUAGACUGAAUGGUCACCUGUAUGAGAAACAAGUUCAUUAUCACACCACUGUUCAGAGAGCAAUUGUGUGUACACAGUGAAGGCACGCAGCAAGAUUAACUCUGCUAAGAAACCCCACAACAAAGCAGGUUUCAAAACAGAAGAACCUGUGUACAUCUCGCUGUGUAAACCAGACAGACGCUAGGAAAAGAUGACAAGAGUUGUUUGAUAUGAAUCCAAGAUACAGCCAUUUUAACAAAGCUUUUUUAACCAUCCAAUUGACAGUAUGAAUAAACACACCUCACAUCAAGCUGGACACAUAAUUAUGUCUCCAUUGAGUGCAUUGGGGUAUAUAAGUUAAUUAAAAGCACUUGCACUGCCAGCUCUCACAUCAUUGUUCGGCUUUUAGUUCUU